This 408-nucleotide ribosomal RNA is filed under the name Triticum aestivum (bread wheat). Its description in RNAcentral is "partial small subunit ribosomal RNA". Lineage: Eukaryota; Viridiplantae; Streptophyta; Magnoliopsida; Poales; Poaceae. The record is from RNAcentral.
AUGGCUAAUGUUCUUCGUAGAAUGGACAGUGAUGUUCCUGCAGUGAGAUUCUUCCAUGGAUUAAUGCUUGAGGCAAAGAAACAUAUUGUUGUGAGGUUUGAUAAUGAUGAGAGCAAGUACAAAGUUGCUUGGGACAUCAUUGAUAAAAGGUGGGACAGCAAGCUCAAGACUCCUCUCCACUUGGCUGGCUAAUAUUUGAAUCACUAUUAUUACCGAAACAAGUCAGAGAUUGAGCAUGAUGGAUCAUUUAGAGCUGCUGUUAUUACAUACAUUUGCAAGAUGAUUGAGGAUGAAGAAACCCAAGACAUUGUAAUUGAAGAACUUAACAUGUAUCAAGAUCAGCAAGGAUCUUUCGGCCAUGAGAUUGCUAUAAGGAAAAGGAGAAACAAGAAUUUUAAUCUAGGUUAG